UUAAAAGAAAAUUUCUAUAAAUAUAUUUCGAAUUUAAAAGAGUUAAGAGUUUAUUAUUUUUAUUGUUUAAUAAAUAUUAGUAAUAAAUUUUUAGUAAUGAAACGUUAUUCGUUUUUAAAUAUAUCUAAUUUUUUAAGAAAAAAAUUUAAUUUUAUUAUUAUUUAAUAAUAUAUUAUAUUUUUAAUUUGUUAUUAAUAAUAUUAAAUAUUUAAAGGGAUGAGCUUUUAAAUAAAUAAUUAUAAUAUUUUUAUAAAAUUAAAAUUUAUAGGAUUAGAAUUUUUCAUUAUUAAUAGUAUGUUAUAAUUAAUUUAAUAAAAUUUUAUUUUUUAUAUUUUAUUUAAUUUUUUUAUUAAAAUAUAUAUAUUAAUUAAAUUUAUAUAGAAAUAAUGAUAAAAUUAGUAUAAUAAUAUUUUAAAUUUAUAUUUUAAUAUAAGAUUAUAUAUAGGAAUUCGGCAAAUGAAUUUUCACCUGUUUAUUAAAAACAUGGCCUUUUGAGUUUAAUUUAAGGUCUGACCUGCCCACUGAUAAUUUAAAUGGCCGCGGUAUUUU
This 549-nucleotide ribosomal RNA is filed under the name Aulacoscelis costaricensis. RNAcentral describes it as "partial 16S ribosomal RNA". Lineage: Eukaryota; Metazoa; Arthropoda; Insecta; Coleoptera; Chrysomelidae. The record is from RNAcentral.